CACGUAGGGCGCGAGCGUUGUCCGGAAUUAUUGGGCGUAAAGGGCUCGUAGGCGGUUUGUCGCGUCGAAAGUGAAAAUCCGGGGCUCAACCCCGGACCUGCUUUCGAUACGGGCAGGCUAGAGGUAGGCAGGGGAGAAUGGAAUUCCUGGUGUAGCGGUGGAAUGCGCAGAUAUCAGGAGGAACACCGGUGGCGAAGGCGGUUCUCUGGGCCUUACCUGACGCUGAGGAGCGAAAGCGUGGGGAGCGAACAGG
RNAcentral lists this unclassified non-coding RNA (253 nucleotides) under uncultured Nocardioidaceae bacterium. RNAcentral describes it as "contains 16S-23S intergenic spacer region". It matches the Rfam family "Bacterial small subunit ribosomal RNA", at positions 524 to 776 of the family's 1533-position model. Lineage: Bacteria; Bacillati; Actinomycetota; Actinomycetes; Propionibacteriales; Nocardioidaceae. The record is from RNAcentral.